RNAcentral lists this ribosomal RNA (497 nucleotides) under uncultured bacterium. RNAcentral's name for it is "partial 16S ribosomal RNA". It matches the Rfam family "Bacterial small subunit ribosomal RNA", at positions 28 to 507 of the family's 1533-position model. The record is from RNAcentral.
GAUGAACGCCGGCGGCGUGCCUAAUACAUGCAAGUCGAGCGAACAGAUGAGGAGCUUGCUCCUCUGACGUUAGCGGCGGACGGGUGAGUAACACGUGGAUAACCUACCUAUAAGACUGGGAUAACUUCGGGAAACCGGAGCUAAUACCGGAUAAUAUAUUGAACCGCAUGGUUCAAUAGUGAAAGACGGUUUUGCUGUCACUUAUAGAUGGAUCCGCGCCGCAUUAGCUAGUUGGUAAGGUAACGGCUUACCAAGGCGACGAUGCGUAGCCGACCUGAGAGGGUGAUCGGCCACACUGGAACUGAGACACGGUCCAGACUCCUACGGGAGGCAGCAGUAGGGAAUCUUCCGCAAUGGGCGAAAGCCUGACGGAGCAACGCCGCGUGAGUGAUGAAGGUCUUCGGAUCGUAAAACUCUGUUAUUAGGGAAGAACAAAUGUGUAAGUAACUAUGCACGUCUUGACGGUACCUAAUCAGAAAGCCACGGCUAACUACGUG